Molecule: non-coding RNA, 85 nt
Organism: Malassezia sp. CBS 17886
Lineage: Eukaryota; Fungi; Basidiomycota; Malasseziomycetes; Malasseziales; Malasseziaceae
Source: the annotation of a GenBank genome assembly
GACUUUAUAACUCAGUUGGUUAGAGUAUCACGUUAACACCAUCGUGAUCCCGUGAAAGUCCCCGGUUCGAGCCCGGGUAAAGUCA